CAGGGUUAAUUUUUGUAAACCCAGAGGUUAUUCUGUACCACCUCACCUCAUUUCUGGGACAGGAUAAGGGGUCCCUUCCAGGUCAAGGUAGCCUGGAAGUGGAGAAUGGUAGUCUGAUGGUUGCUUGACAGUUCCUCAUUAAUGAAUUCAGACUUCACAACAUAUCGUCAUGACAUAAGGAUGACAUUCAAAGAUCCAAAGACAGCAAGUAGCAAAAUAGGUUGCCUGAAAUAAUUUAUCUUCCCUCUCGUUACAGAGAUUAUGGCCCUCUGUCAGCCUCAGCUCAGAGGAUGAAAUACUCUCCACAAGAAUGAUGAGGAGCAGUGGCCAGCAAGUGGUUGUUAAUAACAAGGCUCGAGCACUCUAAGAGGGAGAGAAACCUUAUUUUAACAGCUCUCUGUAAAGAAAUAUCCAGAAAUAGGCAUCUUUGAAAUGUCCAAUGUGUCAAACUGAAAGAGAGUCUUAAAAUGCACUGGGUAGAUGCUGCUGAUAUACACAUUUUAAGAGAGGAAAGUUGUUAAC
Molecule: long non-coding RNA, 522 nt
Organism: Hirundo rustica (Barn swallow)
Lineage: Eukaryota; Metazoa; Chordata; Aves; Passeriformes; Hirundinidae
Exons: 3
Source: RefSeq, a predicted model, not a curated record